AACUUUCAACAACGGAUCUCUUGGCUCUCGCAUCGAUGAAGAACGCAGCGAAAUGCGAUAAGUAAUGUGAAUUGCAAAAUUCAGUGAAUCAUCGAAUCUUUGAACGCACCUUGCGCCCCUUGGUAUUCCGAGGGGCAUGCCUGUUUGAGUGUCAUUA
This 157-nucleotide ribosomal RNA is filed under the name Pleurotus pulmonarius. Its description in RNAcentral is "5.8S ribosomal RNA". It matches the Rfam family "5.8S ribosomal RNA". Rfam says of the family: 5.8S ribosomal RNA (5.8S rRNA) is a component of the large subunit of the eukaryotic ribosome. It is transcribed by RNA polymerase I as part of the 45S precursor that also contains 18S and 28S rRNA. Lineage: Eukaryota; Fungi; Basidiomycota; Agaricomycetes; Agaricales; Pleurotaceae. The record is from RNAcentral.